Molecule: ribosomal RNA, 1368 nt
Filed under: uncultured bacterium
Lineage: Bacteria
Description: bacterial SSU rRNA
Rfam family: Bacterial small subunit ribosomal RNA
Source: RNAcentral
GAGUUUGAUCCUGGCUCAGGGCGAACGCUGGCGGCGCGCCUAACACAUGCAAGUCGAACGAGCGAGAGAGAGCUUGCUUUCUCGAGCGAGUGGCGAACGGGUGAGUAACGCGUGAGGAACCUGCCUCAAAGAGGGGGACAACAGUUGGAAACGACUGCUAAUACCGCAUAAGCCCACAGCUCGGCAUCGAGCAGAGGGAAAAGGAGCAAUCCGCUUUGAGAUGGCCUCGCGUCCGAUUAGCUAGUUGGUGAGGUAACGGCCCACCAAGGCGACGAUCGGUAGCCGGACUGAGAGGUUGAACGGCCACAUUGGGACUGAGACACGGCCCAGACUCCUACGGGAGGCAGCAGUGGGGAAUAUUGCACAAUGGGGGAAACCCUGAUGCAGCGACGCCGCGUGGAGGAAGAAGGUCUUCGGAUUGUAAACUCCUGUUGUUGAGGAAGAUAAUGACGGUACUCAACAAGGAAGUGACGGCUAACUACGUGCCAGCAGCCGCGGUAAAACGUAGGUCACAAGCGUUGUCCGGAAUUACUGGGUGUAAAGGGAGCGCAGGCGGGAAGGCAAGUUGGAAGUGAAAUCCAUGGGCUCAACCCAUGAACUGCUUUCAAAACUGUUUUUCUUGAGUAGUGCAGAGGUAGGCGGAAUUCCCGGUGUAGCAGUGGAAUGCGUAGAUAUCGGGAGGAACACCAGUGGCGAAGGCGGCCUACUGGGCACCAACUGAUGCUGAGGCUCGAAAGUGUGGGUAGCAAACAGGAUUAGAUACCCUGGUAGUCCACACUGUAAACGAUGAUUACUAGGUGUUGGAGGAUUGACCCCUUCAGUGCCGCAGUUAACACAAUAAGUAAUCCACCUGGGGAGUACGACCGCAAGGUUGAAACUCAAAGGAAUUGACGGGGGCCCGCACAAGCAGUGGAGUAUGUGGUUUAAUUCGACGCAACGCGAAGAACCUUACCAAGUCUUGACAUCCUGCGACGCACAUAGAAAUAUGUGUUUCCUUCGGGACGCAGAGACAGGUGGUGCAUGGUUGUCGUCAGCUCGUGUCGUGAGAUGUUGGGUUAAGUCCCGCAACGAGCGCAACCCUUAUGGUCAGUUACUACGCAAGAGGACUCUGGCCAGACUGCCGUUGACAAAACGGAGGAAGGUGGGGAUGACGUCAAAUCAUCAUGCCCUUUAUGACUUGGGCUACACACGUACUACAAUGGCGUUAAACAAAGAGAAGCAAGACCGCGAGGUGGAGCAAAACUCAGAAACAACGUCCCAGUUCGGACUGCAGGCUGCAACUCGCCUGCACGAAGUCGGAAUUGCUAGUAAUCGCAGAUCGGCAUGCUGCGGUGAAUACGUUCCCGGGCCUUGUACACACCGCCCGUC